CCUACGGGAGGCAGCAGUGAGGAAUAUUGGUCAAUGGGCGCUAGCCUGAACCAGCCAAGUAGCGUGAAGGAUGACUGCCCUAUGGGUUGUAAACUUCUUUUAUAUGGGAAUAAAGUGCAGUAUGUAUACUGCUUUGCAUGUACCUUCUGAAUAAGGCUCGGCUAACUCCGUGCCAGCAGCCGCGGUAAUACGGCGGAUCCGAGCGUUAUCCGGAUUUAUUGGGUUGAAAGGGAGCGUAGGAGGGUUGUUAAGUCAGUUGUGAAAGUUUGCGGCUCAACCGUAAAAUUGCAGUUGAUACUGGCAGCCUUGAGUACAGUAGAGGUAGGCGGAAUUCGUGGUGUAGCGGUGAAAUGCGUAGAUAUCACGAAGAACUCCGAUUGCGAAGGCAGCCUGCUGGACUGUAACUGACGCUGAUGCUCGAAAGUGUGGGUAUCAAACAGGAUUAGAUACCCUAGUAGUC
This 460-nucleotide ribosomal RNA is filed under the name uncultured bacterium. Its description in RNAcentral is "partial 16S ribosomal RNA". It matches the Rfam family "Bacterial small subunit ribosomal RNA", at positions 338 to 795 of the family's 1533-position model. The record is from RNAcentral.